UGCCAGACUCCUACGGGAGGCAGCAGUGAGGAAUAUUGGUCAAUGGGCUUACGCCUGAACCAGCCAAGUCGCGUGAGGGAAGACUGCCCUAUGGGUUGUAAACCUCUUUUGUCAGGGAGCAACGCCGGCUACGUGUAGCCGGACUGAGAGUACCUGAAGAAAAAGCAUCGGCUAACUCCGUGCCAGCAGCCGCGGUAAUACGGAGGAUGCGAGCGUUGUCCGGAAUCAUUGGGCGUAAAGAGUUCGUAGGCGGCACGUAAAGUCUGGUGUUAAAGGCAGAGGCUCAACUUCUGUACGGCACUGGAUACUUGCGAGCUAGAAUGCGGUAGAGGUAAAGGGAAUUCCUGGUGUAGCGGUGAAAUGCUUAGAUAUCAGGAGGAACAUCGGUGGCGUAAGCGCUUUACUGGGCCGUAAUUGACGCUGAGGAACGAAAGCCAGGGUAGCAAAUGGGAUUAGAUACCCCAGUACAG
Molecule: ribosomal RNA, 470 nt
Filed under: uncultured bacterium
Lineage: Bacteria
Description: bacterial SSU rRNA
Rfam family: Bacterial small subunit ribosomal RNA
Source: RNAcentral